GACGAACGCUGGCGGCGUGCUUAACACAUGCAAGUCGAACGGAAAGGCCUGCUUUCCCUUGUGGAUUGCGGGUACUCGAGUGGCGAACGGGUGAGUAGCACGUGAGUGAUCUGCCCCCAACUUGGGUAUAAGCCUGGGAAACUGGGUCUAAUUCCCGAUAGGACUGCAGGGUGGUGCCUGUGGUGGAAAACGAUUUUCUAGUGGUUGGGGAUGAGCUCGCGGCCUAUCAGCUUGUUGGUGGGGUAAUGGCCUACCAAGGCGGCGACGGGUAGCCGGCCUGGGAGGGUGGACGGCCACAUUGGGACUGAGAUACGGCCCAGACUCCUACGGGAGGCAGCAGUGGGGAAUAUUGCACAAUGGGCGGAAGCCUGAUGCAGCGACGCCGCGUGGGGGAUGACGGCCUUCGGGUUGUAAACUCCUUUCGACCGCGAGGAAGCCACCUGGUUGGAAGGGUGGUGACGGUAGUGGUAGAAGAAGCACCGGCUAACUACGUG
RNAcentral lists this ribosomal RNA (494 nucleotides) under uncultured bacterium. RNAcentral describes it as "partial 16S ribosomal RNA". It matches the Rfam family "Bacterial small subunit ribosomal RNA", at positions 28 to 507 of the family's 1533-position model. The record is from RNAcentral.